This 237-nucleotide ribosomal RNA is filed under the name uncultured bacterium. Its description in RNAcentral is "partial 16S ribosomal RNA". It matches the Rfam family "Bacterial small subunit ribosomal RNA", at positions 15 to 235 of the family's 1533-position model. The record is from RNAcentral.
GAUCAUCGCUCAGGACGAACGCUGGCGGCGUGCUUAACACAUGCAAGUCGAACGAGAAUCUACUGAAAGAGUUUUCGGACAAUGGAAGUAGAGGAAAGUGGCGGACGGGUGAGUAACGCGUGAGGAACCUGCCUUGAAGAGGGGGUCAACAGUUGGAAACGACUGCUAAUACCGCAUGAAGCAUAGGGGUCGCAUGAUUCUUAUGCCAAAGAUUUAUCGCUUCAAGAUGGCCUCGCG